RNAcentral lists this ribosomal RNA (476 nucleotides) under uncultured bacterium. Its description in RNAcentral is "bacterial SSU rRNA". It matches the Rfam family "Bacterial small subunit ribosomal RNA", at positions 28 to 474 of the family's 1533-position model. The record is from RNAcentral.
GACGAACGCNGGCGGCGUGCUUAACACAUGCAAGUCGAACGAAGAGCGAUGGAAGCUUGCUUCUAUCAAUCUUAGUGGCGAACGGGUGAGUAACGCGUAAUCAACCUGCCCUUCAGAGGGGGACAACAGUUGGAAACGACUGCUAAUACCGCAUACGAUCUAACCUCGGCAUCGAGGAUAGAUGAAAGGUGGCCUCUACAUGUAAGCUAUCACUGAAGGAGGGGAUUGCGUCUGAUUAGCUAGUUGGAGGGGUAACGGCCCACCAAGGCGAUGAUCAGUAGCCGGUCUGAGAGGAUGAACGGCCAUAUUGGGACUGAGACACGGCCCAGACUCCUACGGGAGGCAGCAGUGGGGAAUCUUCCGCAAUGGACGAAAGUCUGACGGAGCAACGCCGCGUGAGUGAUGACGGCCUUCGGGUUGUAAAGCUCUGUUAAUCGGGACGAAAGGCCUUCUUGCGAAUAGUGAGAAGGAUGACG